This 465-nucleotide ribosomal RNA is filed under the name uncultured bacterium. RNAcentral's name for it is "partial 16S ribosomal RNA". It matches the Rfam family "Bacterial small subunit ribosomal RNA", at positions 28 to 507 of the family's 1533-position model. The record is from RNAcentral.
GACGAACGCUGGCGGCGUGCUUAACACAUGCAAGUCGUACGGUAAGGCCCUUUCGGGGGUACACGAGUGGCGAACGGGUGAGUAACACGUGAGUAACCUGCCCACAACUUUGGGAUAACGCUAGGAAACUGGUGCUAAUACUGGAUAUGUGCUCCUGCUGCAUGGUGGGGGUUGGAAAGCUCCGGCGGUUGUGGAUGGACUCGCGGCCUAUCAGCUUGUUGGUGGGGUAGUGGCCUACCAAGGCGGCGACGGGUAGCCGGCCUGAGAGGGUGACCGGCCACAUUGGGACUGAGAUACGGCCCAGACUCCUACGGGAGGCAGCAGUGGGGAAUAUUGCACAAUGGGCGCAAGCCUGAGGCAGCAACGCCGCGUGCGGGAUGACGGCCUGCGGGUUGUAAACCGCUUUCAGCAGGGACGAAGCUUUUUGUGACGGUACCUGCAGAAGAAGCACCGGCUAACUACGUG